CUACUGACUUGGCGGGAGAAAGACCUGCCCUGGUUUCCCCUGGGACAGUCUCACUCAUAGCUUUCUGGGUGUACAGGCCCCUGUGAUUUACCCAAAUGUGAAAAAUACAGCUGCAUAAUUUGAAGUAGUAAGUGACUGCAUUCACACUUU
RNAcentral lists this small nuclear RNA (150 nucleotides) under Meriones unguiculatus (Mongolian gerbil). Its description in RNAcentral is "U1 spliceosomal RNA (ENSMUGG00000021313.1)". It matches the Rfam family "U1 spliceosomal RNA". From Rfam's summary of the family: U1 is a small nuclear RNA (snRNA) component of the spliceosome (involved in pre-mRNA splicing). Its 5' end forms complementary base pairs with the 5' splice junction, thus defining the 5' donor site of an intron. Lineage: Eukaryota; Metazoa; Chordata; Mammalia; Rodentia; Muridae. The record is from RNAcentral.